RNAcentral lists this ribosomal RNA (497 nucleotides) under uncultured bacterium. RNAcentral describes it as "partial 16S ribosomal RNA". It matches the Rfam family "Bacterial small subunit ribosomal RNA", at positions 28 to 507 of the family's 1533-position model. The record is from RNAcentral.
GAUGAACGCUGGCGGCGUGCCUAAUACAUGCAAGUCGAGCGAACAGACGAGGAGCUUGCUCCUCUGACGUUAGCGGCGGACGGGUGAGUAACACGUGGAUAACCUACCUAUAAGACUGGGAUAACUUCGGGAAACCGGAGCUAAUACCGGAUAAUAUAUUGAACCGCAUGGUUCAAUAGUGAAAGACGGUUUUGCUGUCACUUAUAGAUGGAUCCGCGCCGCAUUAGCUAGUUGGUAAGGUAGCGGCUUACCAAGGCAACGAUGCGUAGCCGACCUGAGAGGGUGAUCGGCCACACUGGAACUGAGACACGGUCCAGACUCCUACGGGAGGCAGCAGUAGGGAAUCUUCCGCAAUGGGCGAAAGCCUGACGGAGCAACGCCGCGUGAGUGAUGAAGGUCUUCGGAUCGUAAAACUCUGUUAUUAGGGAAGAACAAACGUGUAAGUAACUAUGCACGUCUUGACGGUACCUAAUCAGAAAGCCACGGCUAACUACGUG